RNAcentral lists this unclassified non-coding RNA (333 nucleotides) under soil metagenome. RNAcentral's name for it is "partial contains 5.8S ribosomal RNA, internal transcribed spacer 2, and large subunit ribosomal RNA". The stretch from base 1 to 120 matches the Rfam family "5.8S ribosomal RNA", at positions 35 to 154 of the family's 154-position model. The record is from RNAcentral.
GAUGAAGAACGUAGCGAAAUGCGAUAAGUAGUGUGAAUUGCAGAAUUCAGUGAAUCAUCGAAUCUUUGAACGCACAUUGCGCCCUGUGGUAUUCCGCAGGGCAUGCCUGUUCGAGCGUCAUUGACACCCUCAAGCUCUGCUUGGUCUUGGGCGUUUGUGCCUGCCGUUGCGCAGGGACUCGCCUCAAACUCAUUGGCAGCCUGCCUUUGCCGGUCUUUGCACAGCACAGUCGUGCCAAAGCCGCGGUGAGCAGGCGCUCCACAAGCCCUUUUCAGCUUGACCUCGGAUCAGGUAGGAAUACCCGCUGAACUUAAGCAUAUAAUAAGCGGAGGA